Molecule: ribosomal RNA, 1246 nt
Filed under: Peach yellow leaf phytoplasma
Lineage: Bacteria; Bacillati; Mycoplasmatota; Mollicutes; Acholeplasmatales; Acholeplasmataceae
Description: bacterial SSU rRNA
Rfam family: Bacterial small subunit ribosomal RNA
Source: RNAcentral
GAAACGACUGCUAAGACUGGAUAGGAGACAAGAAGGCAUCUUCUUGUUUUUAAAAGACCUAGCAAUAGGUAUGCUUAGGUAGGAGCUUGCGUCACAUUAGUUAGUUGGUGGGGUAAAGGCCUACCAAGACUAUGAUGUGUAGCCGGGCUGAGAGGUUGAACGGCCACAUUGGGACUGAGACACGGCCCAAACUCCUACGGGAGGCAGCAGUAGGGAAUUUUCGGCAAUGGAGGAAACUCUGACCGAGCAACGCCGCGUGAACGAUGAAGUAUUUCGGUACGUAAAGUUCUUUUAUUAGGGAAGAAUAAAUGAUGGAAAAAUCAUUCUGACGGUACCUAAUGAAUAAGCCCCGGCUGACUAUGUGCCAGCAGCCGCGGUAAUACAUAGGGGGCAAGCGUUAUCCGGAAUUAUUGGGCGUAAAGGGUGCGUAGGCGGUUAAAUAAGUUUGUGGUCUAAGUGCAAUGCUCAACAUUGUGAUGCUAUAAAAACUGUUUAGCUAGAGUAAGAUAGAGGCAAGUGGAAUUCCAUGUGUAGUGGUAAAAUGCGUAAAUAUAUGGAGGAACACCAGUAGCGAAGGCGGCUUGCUGGGUCUUUACUGACGCUGAGGCACGAAAGCGUGGGGAGCAAACAGGAUUAGAUACCCUGGUAGUCCACGCCGUAAACGAUGAGUACUAAACGUUGGGUAAAACCAGUGUUGAAGUUAACACAUUAAGUACUCCGCCUGAGUAGUACGUACGCAAGUAUGAAACUUAAAGGAAUUGACGGGACUCCGCACAAGCGGUGGAUCAUGUUGUUUAAUUCGAAGGUACCCGAAAAACCUCACCAGGUCUUGACAUGCUUCUGCAAAGCUGUAGAAACACAGUGGAGGUUAUCAGUUGCACAGGUGGUGCAUGGUUGUCGUCAGCUCGUGUCGUGAGAUGUUGGGUUAAGUCCCGCAACGAGCGCAACCCUUAUUGUUAGUUACCAGCACGUAAUGGUGGGGACUUUAGCAAGACUGCCAGUGAUAAAUUGGAGGAAGGUGGGGACGACGUCAAAUCAUCAUGCCCCUUAUGACCUGGGCUACAAACGUGAUACAAUGGCUGUUACAAAGGGUAGCUGAAGCGCAAGUUUUUGGCGAAUCUCAAAAAAACAGUCUCAGUUCGGAUUGAAGUCUGCAACUCGACUUCAUGAAGUUGGAAUCGCUAGUAAUCGCGAAUCAGCAUGUCGCGGUGAAUACGUUCGCGGGGUUUGUACACACCGCCCGUCA